GAGAUGAGCUCAGUUGGGCAGAGUAUGGUGCUAAUAACACCAUGGUUGAAGGUUUGAUUCCUGUACGUGCCA
Lamprotornis superbus is the source of this 72-nucleotide non-coding RNA. NCBI's taxonomy places the organism in Eukaryota, Metazoa, Chordata, Aves, Passeriformes, Sturnidae. The record is from the annotation of a GenBank genome assembly.